This 294-nucleotide ribosomal RNA is filed under the name uncultured soil bacterium. RNAcentral's name for it is "partial 16S ribosomal RNA". It matches the Rfam family "Bacterial small subunit ribosomal RNA", at positions 26 to 311 of the family's 1533-position model. The record is from RNAcentral.
AGAUUGAACGCUGGCGGCAGGCCUAACACAUGCAAGUCGAGCGGCAGCACGGGUACUUGUACCUGGUGGCGAGCGGCGGACGGGUGAGUAAUGCCUAGGAAUCUGCCUGGUAGUGGGGGAUAACGCUCGGAAACGGACGCUAAUACCGCAUACGUCCUACGGGAGAAAGCAGGGGACCUUCGGGCCUUGCGCUAUCAGAUGAGCCUAGGUCGGAUUAGCUAGGUUGGAGAGGUAAUGGCUCACCGAAGGUCCGACGAUCCCGUAACUGGUACUGACGAGGUAUGAUCAGUCCAC